CGACGAGUUUGAUCCUGGCUCAGAUUGAACGCUGGCGGAAUGCUUUACACAUGCAAGUCGAACGGUAGAGGGGGCAACCCCUUGAGAGUGGCGAACGGGUGAGUAAUAUAUCGGAACGUGCCCAGUCGUGGGGGAUAACGUAGCGAAAGUUACGCUAAUACCGCAUACGAUCUAAGGAUGAAAGCGGGGACUCGCAAGAGCCUCGCGCGAUUGGAGCGGCCGAUAUCAGAUUAGCUAGUUGGUGGGGUAAAGGCCUACCAAGGCGACGAUCCAUAGCUGGUCUGAGAGGAUGAUCAGCCACACUGGGGACUGAGACACGGCCCAGACUCCUACGGGGAGCAGCAGUGGGGUAAUAUUGGACAAUGGGGCGAAAGCCUGAUCCCAGCAAUGCCGCGUGAGUGAUGAA
This 406-nucleotide ribosomal RNA is filed under the name uncultured Limnohabitans sp. RNAcentral's name for it is "bacterial SSU rRNA". It matches the Rfam family "Bacterial small subunit ribosomal RNA", at positions 1 to 412 of the family's 1533-position model. Lineage: Bacteria; Pseudomonadati; Pseudomonadota; Betaproteobacteria; Burkholderiales; Comamonadaceae. The record is from RNAcentral.